GUAGAUAGACCUAUAAGAAAUGCUAAGUAGAGUACUACUUGGUGGUCUAGCUUUUUCUUUUAAUAAAGCUGCUCUUGGAGUUUUCCUCUUGCCCCCCAAUCCCCUCCAUGAAAACUAUGUACCUGAAUUCAGCUGCUCGAGUAUAUACGAAGAAGAUAACAAGAUUCUGUUCCAUCUCCUUAAUUCCCACUCACAACACAACACGUUCAUGACAUUUCUGCUUCCCAGUCCCCAUUAUCUUGGUUAUGAAUCAUCUCUCGUGUAUAAUAAAAUUAUGUUGGAACUUGUGUAGUCAAUAUGUUAAAAAUAUAAAAAAUUGUUACUUUUAAUACAAUUUUUUUU
This 342-nucleotide long non-coding RNA is filed under the name Trifolium pratense (red clover). RNAcentral's name for it is "long non-coding RNA (TPRA_LNC001255)". The record is from RNAcentral. Lineage: Eukaryota; Viridiplantae; Streptophyta; Magnoliopsida; Fabales; Fabaceae.